RNAcentral lists this long non-coding RNA (572 nucleotides) under Sus scrofa (pig). Its description in RNAcentral is "lncRNA (ENSSSCG00070023988.1)". Lineage: Eukaryota; Metazoa; Chordata; Mammalia; Artiodactyla; Suidae. The record is from RNAcentral.
GCACAAAAUUGAGUGUCGUCUUAUGCUGAAGAUGUGAUGAACAAAAAAAGGAAAGAAGAAAAGAAGGGAACACAGAUAGCAAGCAGCAAGUGAAUGGAAUACUGCACAUCUACCUAGCCAGCAAGGGGCGCUCUCAGGAGCCUAUACCAGGACCCCUGAGUCCCAGCCUGCAGUGUCACAUACUGCCCCACUCCGCUGCCAGCGUUACUGCUGCAGUAAUCCUUUACCCUCUUCCUCCUGUCUCUGUUAUCCACUCACCUUACUUCUAUUCAUUCAAGUUCAUAAGCCUGCAUUUUGGGACCCUGGCAGUAAGCACCUGCAAGCACUAAUGAAGGCAACAAUUCAUAACCAAGAUUGUCCUUCAGAAUCGUCUAAAGGAUUUCAGUACACACGUGGACCAGAAGUCCAAGCCAGAGCUCCCAGAGAAGAAUUUUCAAGGUAUGACGUGCAGGAUGUUUUGUUUUAAUUCAUGAUAAGGAAAUUUCAUUUUAAAACAAAUAAUCUGGGCAGUAUAUGAUCCACUGGAAAUCUGAAAAAAUAAAGAUCUAUGAUAUCAUUUAUAUGGGGAUCUA